AACAAGGUUUCCGUAGGUGAACCUGCGGAAGGAUCAUUCACAAACGAGUGUUUUAUGGCACUCUUUAAAAAUCCAUAUCCACCUUGUGUGCAAUGUUUGUUGGGAAAGUCUUUUCUUUCCCUUCAUAAAUAUCAACCUAUAUCUUUAACAACAUUCGUCUGAUAACAUAUUAUGAAUAUACUUAAUUCAAAAUAUAACUUUCAACAACGGAUCUCUUGGCUCUCGCAUCGAUGAAGAACGCAGCGAAAUGCGAUACGUAAUGUGAAUUGCAGAAUUCAGUGAAUCAUCGAAUCUUUGAACGCAUAUUGCGCUCUUUGGUAUUCCGAAGAGCAUGCUUGUUUGAGUAUCAGUAAGCACCUCAACCUCUCUUUUUGACAAAAAAAGGAGGGUGGACUUGAGCUAUCCCAACGACCUUCACCGGUAGGCGGGCGGCUUGAAAUGCAGGUGCAGCUGGACUUUUAUCUGAGCUAAAAGCAUAUCUAUUUAGUCCUCGUCAAACAGGAUUAUUACUUUUGCUGCAGCUAACAUAAAGGAUAAUUGUCCUCUUUGCUGACUGAUGCAGGAUUUUACGACACUUUAUGUGUUGUUCAACUCGAUCUCAAAUCAAGUAAGACUACCCGCUGAACUUAAGCAUAUC
This 637-nucleotide ribosomal RNA is filed under the name uncultured fungus. RNAcentral describes it as "eukaryotic LSU rRNA". The stretch from base 196 to 349 matches the Rfam family "5.8S ribosomal RNA". Lineage: Eukaryota; Fungi. The record is from RNAcentral.